This 744-nucleotide ribosomal RNA is filed under the name uncultured bacterium. RNAcentral describes it as "bacterial SSU rRNA". It matches the Rfam family "Bacterial small subunit ribosomal RNA", at positions 8 to 796 of the family's 1533-position model. The record is from RNAcentral.
AGAGUUUGAUCCUGGCUCAGGAUGAACGCUGGCGGUAUGCUUAACACAUGCAAGUCGAACGGUGUCUUCGGACACAGUGGCGGACGGGUGAGUAACGCGUGAGAAUCUGGCUUUAGGUCUGGGACAACCACUGGAAACGGUGGCUAAUACCGGAUGUGCCGAGAGGUGAAAGGUUAACUGCCUGAAGAUGAGCUCGCGUCUGAUUAGCUAGUUGGAAGUGUAAUGGACUCCCAAGGCGACGAUCAGUAGCUGGUCUGAGAGGACGAUCAGCCACACUGGGACUGAGACACGGCCCAGACUCCUACGGGAGGCAGCAGUGGGGAAUUUUCCGCAAUGGGCGAAAGCCUGACGGAGCAAUACCGCGUGAGGGAGGAAGGCUCUUGGGUCGUAAACCUCUUUUCUCAGGGAAGAACAAAAUGACGGUACCUGAGGAAUAAGCAUCGGCUAACUCCGUGCCAGCAGCCGCGGUAAUACGGAGGAUGCAAGCGUUAUCCGGAAUGAUUGGGCGUAAAGCGUCCGCAGGUGGCUAUGUAAGUCUGCUGUUAAAGAAUCUAGCUUAACUAGAUAAGAGCAGUGGAAACUACAAGGCUAGAGUACGUUCGGGGCAGAGGGAAUUCCUGGUGUAGCGGUGAAAUGCGUAGAGAUCAGGAAGAACACCGGUGGCGAAGGCGCUCUGCUAGGUCGUAACUGACACUGAGGGACGAAAGCUAGGGGAGCGAAUGGGAUUAGAUACCCUAGUAGUCC